AAAGAACAGUAACCAAAAGGCCUGUUUGGUAUGUUGCAAUUGAUAGCAUAGCAACAAGGAGUAGGCAAGCAUACUGCUUUAGCCCCACCACAGCAAGUGCAAAGUGCACAAAUCUGAAAACUCCCAAGCUUCCUCCUUGUGUUAUUCAGCAUUAUCAUCAUUUUCUCUGCCUUCCCUGGCUCAAUUAGAGGCACCAUCUCAGACCCUUUUGCCUACACAAGCA
RNAcentral lists this unclassified non-coding RNA (223 nucleotides) under Hevea brasiliensis (rubber tree). The record is from RNAcentral. Lineage: Eukaryota; Viridiplantae; Streptophyta; Magnoliopsida; Malpighiales; Euphorbiaceae.